AACGAACGCUGGCGGCAGGCCUAACACAUGCAAGUCGAGCGCAGUAGCAAUACUGAGCGGCAGACGGGUGAGUAACACGUGGGAACCUUCCUAUUAGUAAAGAAUAGCCCAGGGAAACUUGGAUUAAUACUUUAUACGCCCUACGGGGGAAAGAUUUAUCGCUAAUAGAUGGGCCCGCGUUAGAUUAGGUAGUUGGUGAGGUAAUGGCUCACCAAGCCUACGAUCUAUAGCUGGUCUGAGAGGACGAUCAGCCACACUGGAACUGAGACACGGUCCAGACUCCUACGGGAGGCAGCAGUGGGGAAUAUUGCACAAUGGGCGCAAGCCUGAUGCAGCGACUCCGCGUGAGGGAUGACGGCCUUCGGGUUGUAAACCUCUUUCAGCACCGACGAAGCGCAAGUGACGGUAGGUGCAGAAGAAGGACCGGCCAACUACGUGCCAGCCGCCGCGUAA
RNAcentral lists this ribosomal RNA (453 nucleotides) under uncultured bacterium. RNAcentral describes it as "partial 16S ribosomal RNA". It matches the Rfam family "Bacterial small subunit ribosomal RNA", at positions 29 to 522 of the family's 1533-position model. The record is from RNAcentral.